This 767-nucleotide long non-coding RNA is filed under the name Hordeum vulgare. Its description in RNAcentral is "long non-coding RNA (HVUL_LNC012698)". Lineage: Eukaryota; Viridiplantae; Streptophyta; Magnoliopsida; Poales; Poaceae. The record is from RNAcentral.
GAUCCGUUAAUUAACGGAUUCACUAACCAUCGGGACGAGGCGUUUGUUCUUCCGUUCAAUCUUUUUUGUUUAGCUAAAACAUACAUAUAGGAGUACAUUCCUUUGGGGAGAUGGGCAUGCAGAUCGACCACGCGCAUGUCCGUGCAGAAAUGGAUGCAUGGUCUCGUUUCCUUGGCUGCUGGCGCCCAGCUGCUUGCUGGGUUUGGCAGGGAGAUUGCGAAGUUAUGAACAAAAUUACAAAAGGAAUUGAGAAGAAGCUAGCGACCGAGAGAACAGUGGAGUAGCACCGAUGAGUCGAAGCACGGUGCCCCAGCUCUCAGUGCUCUCAUGCAGGCGGUCGAAGCAAUGCAGGGUUGCAGAUAGCCCGUGCGUGCCGCGUAAAUGGCGCCACCAGUGGGGCCUAGUGAAGCAGCAGCAGCAGCUCAGACGAAUCAAGGGCAAGUACCCGGAAUAUUUUUACCCUGCCGAGUCGCGAAGGGGGUUGGGGUCCACAGCGCCCGACCGUAUACGCCAUUAUGUCCCGGUUUUAGGACAUACAGUACAGUAUUGGGUCCACUGACAUUUUAACUUCGCCACAUCUGUGAUCUGUGCAUGGUUUCUACCCCAUGAUCCAUCUGUACCCACAAGCCUCAUCCUCACGCAGUCACGCAUGUGACUCGUUUCUUCCAGACUUUUUUUUUUUACCGAAGCUGUUGCUUCGUUACAAUUUAUUUCUAAGCUGUCAAAAUUUAAUAGUAUAGGACUUUGUUAGUUCUUAUCAAGGCGAG